This 568-nucleotide small RNA is filed under the name Pongo abelii (Sumatran orangutan). RNAcentral describes it as "processed transcript". Lineage: Eukaryota; Metazoa; Chordata; Mammalia; Primates; Hominidae. The record is from RNAcentral.
CGGCCGCCCCCGGGCCCCGGCGGGGUCUGGGCCGCGCUCCCUCGGAACCCGCUCCAGCCUGGCCCCGGAGAGCGAGAGCCCGGCGCCUGCGAGGCCCCCGGGGCUGGCCCCAGAACCCUGUUCCUUACCCUGCCUGACAUCGGCGAGGAGGGGGCCUCGGACGGCGACUCCGGGGAUGGCGAAGCGUUGGAGUGCAGUGGUAUGAUCACUGUUCAUUGCAGCCUCAACCUCCCAGGCUCAAGCGAUCUGAUUUUCUCGUCUCAGACUCUCGAGUAGCUGGGACUACAGGUGUGAGCUACUAUGCCUGGCCAAUUUUAAAAAUGUUUCUGUGGAGACGGGGUCUCCCUAUGUUGCCCAGGCUGCUCUUGAACUCCUGGCCUCAAGCAAUCUUCCCACCUGGGCAUUGCUGGAAUUACAGGCAUGAGCCACUGCGUCUGGCCAUGAAAUUGGAUUUUAGAAGAGGACUGUCAGAAGGACGUAGAAGGCACACUUUUACUGUGAGAAGCAAAGAUCCUUUACCUACGCAUUUUACAAGAAAUGUGCAGAAAGCCAUUGAUAAAUAUACCUG